GACGAACGCUGGCGGCGUGCCUAAUACAUGCCAGUUGAGCGCUGAAGGUUGGUACUUGUACCAACUGGAUGAGCAGCGAACGGGUGAGUAACGCGUGGGGAAUCUGCCUUUGAGCGGGGGACAACAUUUGGAAACGAAUGCUAAUACCGCAUAAAAACUUUAAACACAAGUUUUAAGUUUGAAAGAUGCAAUUGCAUCACUCAAAGAUGAUCCCGCGUUGUAUUAGCUAGUUGGUGAGGUAAAGGCUCACCAAGGCGAUGAUACAUAGCCGACCUGAGAGGGUGAGCGGCCACAUUGGGACUGAGACACGGCCCAAACUCCUACGGGAGGCAGCAGUAGGGAAUCUUCGGCAAUGGACGAAAGUCUGACCGAGCAACGCCGGGUGAGUGAAGAAGGUUUUCGGAUCGUAAAACUCUGUUGGUAGAGAAGAACGUUGGUGAGAGUGGAAAGCUCAUCAAGUGACGGUAACUACCCAGAAAGGGACGGCUAACUACGUG
Molecule: ribosomal RNA, 497 nt
Filed under: uncultured bacterium
Lineage: Bacteria
Description: partial 16S ribosomal RNA
Rfam family: Bacterial small subunit ribosomal RNA
Source: RNAcentral